GGGGAAAAAUUAAUAAUUUAAGUAAUAAUAAAAAAAUUUUUAAAUAAAAAUAAUAUGGGGGUUAAAGUAUUUUUAUUGAAAAAAUUGAUUAUUUUAUAGUUUAAUAGUAUUGUGAAAGAAUUUUGAAAUAAUUGAAAAUUUAAAUUAUUAAAAAGUAAUUUUAGUUUAAUGUAUCUUGUGUAUCAGAGUUUAUUAAAAAUUUUUAUUAUGUAGUAAAUUCUCGAAUUUAGAAGAGAUAAUUAAUUAAUAAAUUUAUUGUAGCAAAAAUAUUUUAAAUAAUUAAUUGGAAAUGAGAUGUUAAUCGUUUUUAAAUAUAUCUAGUUUUUUUAGAAAAAAAUUUAAUUUUAUAUUAUUUUAUAAAAUUAUUAAUUAAAUAAUAAUUUUAUGAAAUAAUUUUAUAUUUUAAGGGAUAAGCUUUAAAUUAAAUUUAUAUAAAUUUAAUUAUUUAAAAAUUGAAAAUUAUAUGAUUUAUAUUGUUAAUAAAUUUUAAUUUAUUAUAAAUAAUUUCAUUAUAAAUAAAAUUUAAAAUAAUUUUAUAUUUUUAUAAAAAAAAAAUUAAAAAUAAAAUUUAAUUUAAUAUAAUGAUAAAAUUAGUAUAUGUAUAAUUAAAUAUUUAGGUUAUUAUUUUAUUUAAAUAAAGUAAUUAAAAGGAAUUCGGCAAAAAUUUAUAUUCACUUGUUUAUCAAAAACAUGUCUUUUUGUAAAUAAUAUAAAGUCUAAUCUGCCCACUGAUUUAAUUAUUAAAGGGCUGCAGUAUUUUGACUGUACAAAGGUAGCAUAAUCAUUAGUCAUUUAAUUGAUGACUUGUAUGAAAGAUUGGAUGAAAUAUAUACUGUCUCUUAAUUAUAAUAUAUAAUUUAAUUUUUUAGUUAAAAAGCUAAAAUUAAUUAAAAAGACGAGAAGACCCUAUAGAGUUUUAUAAAUUAUAUUUAUUAAGAUUAUUUAUAAAGUUAAUAAUUAAAAUAAUUUAAUUUAAUUUGUUGGGGUGACAAAAAAAUAAAAAUAACUUUUUUUAAUUAAGAAACAUAAAUAAGUGAUUAAUUGAUCCAAUAUUAUUGAUUAUAAGAAAAAAUUACCUUAGGGAUAACAGCGUAAUUUUUUUUUUUAGUUCGUAUAAAAAAAAGAGUUUGCGACCUCGAUGUUGGAUUAAGAUAAAAUUUAAAUGCAGAAGUUUAAAAUUUUUGAUCUGUUCGAUCAUUAAAAUCUUACAUGAUCUGAGUUCAAACCGGUGUGAGCCAGGUUGGUUUCUAUCUUUUAAAAUAUAAAAUAUUUUAGUACGAAAGGAUUAAAUAUUUAAAUUAAAUUUAUUAAAUUGAAUUUUAUUAAAUUUUAUUUAAAAAUAUAAUUGAAUAAUAUUAUAUAUAUAUAU
This 1369-nucleotide ribosomal RNA is filed under the name Helicoverpa gelotopoeon. RNAcentral describes it as "16S ribosomal RNA". The stretch from base 1083 to 1242 matches the Rfam family "Eukaryotic large subunit ribosomal RNA", at positions 2825 to 2984 of the family's 3401-position model. Lineage: Eukaryota; Metazoa; Arthropoda; Insecta; Lepidoptera; Noctuidae. The record is from RNAcentral.